Long non-coding RNA from Gasterosteus aculeatus aculeatus (three-spined stickleback), 3482 nucleotides. The record is from Ensembl. NCBI's taxonomy places the organism in Eukaryota, Metazoa, Chordata, Actinopteri, Perciformes, Gasterosteidae.
GCGUGAUGGAUGCUGUCGAGAGUCAAAGUCGGCUAACGGCCCGCCAGCCAGCGUUCUUUUUAAAUUGGAUGCAGAGUUUGGAAAAAUGUUCCCCGAACGGAAGACCUCUAUCUUCGGUAAUGGGAGGACAUAUUGUUCCAAAACUACUUAAAGUGGCUACACUUGAAAAUGAGCCCCAUGUCUUGCCAGCUGGUGAGGAGAGUGAUGUUCGGCGGUGAUGCAAUAUUUCUUUUGCUUCGCGGCUACACUCCCCUGACGGGCUGACUUGAACACGGUAAAAGCUAUUGAGGUGGAAAAAGGUCCUGAACCGGUGGAUGUUUAGGUAGGUGGACAAGAAUUCCAUUAAGAAGUCAAAAGGAAUAAUCUCUCUGAAUUCUAUUGACCAAGCGCACAACUGACACUAAAAUAUUUGUAUGCAUGGCUUUUGGGAUGGCCUGAAACUGUCAUACCAAACACAUUUGAACAUGUUGACGGUCCACUGCUUGCUAAGUUUUUCCGCCAUUUUGUAAAAAUAAAUAUUAUCAGAUCUAUUAAAGAUAUAGCUUUGAACAAACUAUAACAGUAUACACUCCUCUUUAUUAUGUAGUGUACAUUGGGUUAUUGUGAUAUGCUGUACGCUCAAGCUGCUGUUACAUAAAAGGAUGGAUUCACAAUUGAUAACAGACAUAGCGGAAUAUUUAAAAACUAGUGUCACAGUUCAGCUCCACAUCCUCCUCACUACUCAUCAGCCUAAACUCCCAUCACCUGCCUGUGAUGACUAAUCAAGCCUCUAUAUACAUGUGCUGUUGGUUACAACAUAGAUUAUUGCAUGUGUGAUCCAUUGAUGGUAUAAACACAUAGAUAUUUCUUCUCAUAGUGAUGGCUGAUUUAGACUGUAUUCUGUAUCUCUGUGGUUACACAAACGAGGUGGAGUAAAAACUGCAAACAGAAAAUAUCAAAAAACGACACAUGCUCUGAUUAAGGAUGUUUUGAUUUCCCCCUAAGGCCUUAAACCCAGAUCCCUCACAGACCUAAUUGACGUCACCUGUUAAAUGCUAGAGUGGGAAAAGAUGUAAGAGCUUGAAAUGCUUUUAAUUUUAAUGGAGCACCACUUGGCUGCAAGAUAUGACAUUAUGUACAAUUGUAAGUAAUCCAUUUUGUUUUUUGUCCUUCGAACGUCCUCCGGCCUGGGUAGGUGAGCAGUAAUUUGGAAUACAAGAGGUGAAGAGAGGGACGAAAGCCAUUGAAAAGGAUUGUGAUGGGGAUGAGCUAACUUGUUUCUUUGGACCACAGAGCUUCCAUUGUAUGCAUGGAUUAACAUGUCAGGUUUUACUAUUAAAAAUGGAAACCGCGCUUCAAGGUGCGACGAGAUGUCUUCAACUGUUUGCCCAUCCAUUAACCCAGGGAAGAUUAAAAUAAAAUGCUCAACAAUUUCCUGAGAUGGCAAAAGGACAGCUUGAAAAACAAAUAUUCUGGUGUUUCCUGUAACCGUAUUUCAGCGCCACUCUUUCAGUGGCAUUCAUAUUAGCCAACCUCAACAAAUUUUUUAGCAGUCAUAUUAACAUUGCCUGCCAACAACUCAACAUUUAUAAUCCUCCCCAUCCAUAUAUCAGCUACGUUGCAUCUGUUCCAUGUCCCAACAGGCCCAGCUCCUGCCAUCCUUUCUGUUCCCGAGGCCUAAGCUUUUCAUGGUGUUUUAUGGCCAGGAACAAUACAUUAGCAGAAGUAGCCUUAUUUUCUUAAUUUUAGUGAGAAUGUUUUAGAGAGCUCACCUUAUAUCUGGCUGAUCCUCGUCCAGCAUGGUUCUUGGUUUCAGGUACUAAUUUAACUUGCUGAAUGAAGUAGAGGGGAUUCAAAUAUUCUCAGCUAGUAUUUUAAUAGUUUUUAUGCCUUUUCCUUAACAUAUAACAUACAUACAUGACAAACAUAAUUUCCAGUUCUAUUUCAGUUAAAGAACAUGUUAGGUUCUGUCUUCCGUGUACAUGGGAAACCAGUCAGUUAGGUUUUGGUUAUAUUUGGGAGAGGAUUGUAAAAUGUCGGGUUAAAAUGAAUACUGAAGCGAACGUUGACUCCUCAACUUUCCUCCCACCUUCCCUAUUUGGUUCUUUUUGCGUUCCCUGGUUCACCUGGACAACAUGUGACUUGAUUUAUUUAUCUUCGUUAUCUUCUAACUGCAGCCCAAUCCUUUUGAUAGAUAUAGCUACAAAAGCAGCGAGAGAACAAGCUGGAUAUACAGAACACGGCUGCAUUGAACACCAUAGCAGGAUGUCUUAGAGUCUAGGCACUCCUAGUUCCAGCCCUGCAAAAUAUGUGCCAACAACAAAUCACCUUCCAAUCUAACCUAGAUACUGUCUAUCUUUCAUCUGCAGAAUAUAAUACAGCAUGCGAUGUUCCUGUUGAAAGGAUGAUAGAGUAAGCCAACAUGUUGGUGUGGUGCUGGGGUGGAUUUUCUCCUGUAAUGAGCAGUCUGCAGCGUGUAACCUGCUGUGGACACCAGACAUCAUUUAUGCCCAGGAACAAACAAGCCACACAGACGCAACUGCCAAAAGCACCAUCCAUUUAAUGGAGACGAGUCAGAGAGAGGGCAGGCUGCAUACGGCCACACACAUAGCCAGCACUGCACUGCGGAGCAAAGCAAACAGACUGGGGGGGGGGAGCAGAGUGUUUUUAUUUUAUUUGUGAAGGUUUAAAAAUAUGUUUUAAUAAAAGGUGUAUGUCUAAUUAUGAAACCUUAAAAAGAAUAGAAUGCCCCACUGACGAUAAUAAACUAAGUGCUGUGUCCCUUUUUCUGGAAGCUCCAGACCAGGAAACAGGAAGCCCACUCGUUCACUGCGACGCUGGCUCGUGUUGUUUUUCAUUUGUCCCUACUCCUCUCCACUGAGACUGACUUUACUCAUUAAAAAAAAAAUUCCAGCAUCCAAUGUUGAUUUUCCCUGUAAAUGCAUACAGUAUGUUUCCUUCAUUCCAGGAAACAUUUCUUCAAUUGCCUGGGACAAUUUACUUAAAAAGAUGUUGAAAAACAGUCAACAGUCAUUAAUGUAGUUAGUAAGUCCAAAUCCCACUAAUCCUGGACAUUUGGAUUGCAUGGUUGUACUUGAAGGCUACAGGAACACUUUUUACAGUGUAUCUCCUCCCACUCCAGUUUGCACAAAGCACCAAAAAGACGCAGGCAAGGAAAGAACUCUUUGUAUGGCUGGCUGCAGAGCUCUACCGUAUGCCAUGCCAUGUUAAGAAAAUAGUAGAGUGCAGUCCUAAACUGUCCAUUGCCAAAGUUCUUGGCCUUUCGACUGGUUAUACUGGGAAACUCCAGUGUGAAACUGAAGGGCAUUGUUGGCUCAGCCAACAUUCCUGACUAAAUAAGAGCACAAUCUGUUUUAUGAGAGCGAUAUCAGGGUGAAACUCCUUGUGUGUCAGCCCCUAAAAGUCCACAGAGACGACAAGGUGAAUGGUUUGCGCUGCUGACUACCUAAAGUUUCUUUUUUCUCAUUGUUUCUCUAAUGUCC